CAGCAGCCGCGGUAAGACAGAGGAUGCAAGCGUUAUCCGGAAUUAUUGGGCGUAAAGGGCUCGCAGGCGGUUUCUUAAGUCUGAUGUGAAAGCCCCCGGCUCAACCGGGGAGGGUCAUUGGAAACUGGGAAACUUGAGUGCAGAAGAGGAGAGUGGAAUUCCACGUGUAGCGGUGAAAUGCGUAGAGAUGUGGAGGAGCACCAGUGGCGAAGGCGACUCUCUGGUCUGUAACUGACGCUGAGGAGCGAAAGCGUGGGGAGCGAACAGGAUUAGAUACCCCGGUAGUCCCUGUCUCUUAUAC
RNAcentral lists this ribosomal RNA (301 nucleotides) under uncultured bacterium. RNAcentral's name for it is "partial 16S ribosomal RNA". It matches the Rfam family "Bacterial small subunit ribosomal RNA", at positions 509 to 807 of the family's 1533-position model. The record is from RNAcentral.